GGAAAGAUACAGGGUGUCUCGUCCUGAUGAUUGGAUAAGCACAUCAGGCCACAUGAAAAUGAGAGGAAAACAAAAGAGACGAGGUGAAAGUCACACAGAGACGCCCGACUGAGAUGAGAGAGAGAGAGAGAGAGACAGAAACAGGAAAUGUGAGCGUCUUCCUCUUCCUCCAGAACACUUAAAAUGCUCAUCUGUGUUUCCUCAUUGUGCAGUGAUGGCAUGCAUAAUCAGCGUUCCUGAUGUCAUACGGUGUCAGAGAGGGUUUGAACCGCCGGCGUCUCUCUCUGAUGAAGAUGUGAUGGGAUGUUCUUCCCCGCCGAGACUCGUGCAAUGCUGUCAGAUCCUCCUCGGGCUCCAUUUGGGAGUUUCUGCAGACAGCCUGAUCCAUCUUAUGGACCUGUUCCCCAGCGGGCCCCUGGCACCCAACCUGAUACCUGGACCAUCUGUGUGCCAUCGUCCGCCAGUGAUACCAUCUGCCACUGAUAAUGCCCACGUACACAGCUCUCCU
Cyprinus carpio carpio is the source of this 508-nucleotide long non-coding RNA. The record is from Ensembl. Lineage: Eukaryota; Metazoa; Chordata; Actinopteri; Cypriniformes; Cyprinidae.